Molecule: non-coding RNA, 29 nt
Filed under: Rattus norvegicus (Norway rat)
Lineage: Eukaryota; Metazoa; Chordata; Mammalia; Rodentia; Muridae
Source: RNAcentral
UACAUACUGUGGUGACACCACGUGUAUGC